GACGAACGCUGGCGGCGUGCUUAACACAUGCAAGUCGAACGGAAAGGCCCUGCUUUUGUGGUGUGCUCGAGUGGCGAACGGGUGAGUAACACGUGAGUAACCUGCCCUUGACUUUGGGAUAACUUCAGGAAACUGGGGCUAAUACCGGAUAGGAGCUCCUGCUGCAUGGUGGGGGGUGGAAAGUUUCGGCGGGUGGGGAUGGACUCGCGGCUUAUCAGCUUGUUGGUGGGGUGGUGGCUUACCAAGGCUUUGGCGGGUAGCCGGCCUGAGAGGGUGACCGGCCACAUUGGGACUGAGAUACGGCACAGACUCCUACGGGAGGCAGCAGUGGGGAAUAUUGCACAAUGGGCGGAAGCCUGAUGCAGCAACGCCGCGUGCGGGAUGACGGCCUUCGGGUUGUAAACCGCUUUCGCCUGUGACGAAGCGUGAGUGACGGUAAUGGGUAAAGAAGCACCGGCUAACUACGUG
Molecule: ribosomal RNA, 468 nt
Filed under: uncultured bacterium
Lineage: Bacteria
Description: partial 16S ribosomal RNA
Rfam family: Bacterial small subunit ribosomal RNA
Source: RNAcentral